GACGAACGCUGGCGGCGUGCUUAACACAUGCAAGUCGAACGGUAAGGCUCCAGCUUGCUGGGGUACACGAGUGGCGAACGGGUGAGUAACACGUGGGUGACCUGCCCUGCACUUCGGGAUAAGCCUGGGAAACUGGGUCUAAUACCGGAUAGGACCGCACCGUGAGGGUGUGGUGGAAAGUUUUUUCGGUGUGGGAUGGGCCCGCGGCCUAUCAGCUUGUUGGUGGGGUAAUGGCCUACCAAGGCGGCGACGGGUAGCCGGCCUGAGAGGGUGGACGGCCACAUUGGGACUGAGACACGGCCCAGACUCCUACGGGAGGCAGCAGUGGGGAAUAUUGCACAAUGGGCGGAAGCCUGAUGCAGCGACGCCGCGUGGGGGAUGACGGCCUUCGGGUUGUAAACUCCUUUCACCAUCGACGAAGGGUUUCUGACGGUAGAUGGAGAAGAAGCACCGGCUAGCUACGUGCCAGCAGCCGCGGUAAUACGUAUGGUGCGAGCGUUGUCCGGAAUUACUGGGCGUAAAGAGCUCGUAGGUGGUUUGUCGCGUCGUCCCGUGAAAUUCCGGGGCUUAACUCCGGGCGUGCAGGCGAAACGGGCAUAACUUGAGUACUGUAGGGGGAGACUGGAAUUUCCUGGUGUAGCGGGAAAAUGCGCAAAUAUCAGGAGGAACACCGGUGGCGAAGGCGGGUCUCUGGGCAGUAACUGACGCGAGGAGCGAAAGCAUGGGGAGCGAACAGGAUUAGAUACCCUGGUAGUCCAUCCCGUAAACGGUGGGCGCUAGGUGUGGGUUUCCUUCCACGGGAUCCGUGCCGUAGCUAACGCAUUAAGCGCCCCGCCGGGGGAGUACGGCCGCAAGGCUAAAACUCAAAGGAAUUGACGGGGGCCCGCACAAGCGGCGGAGCAUGUGGAUUAAUUCGAUGCAACGCGAAGAACCUUACCUGGGCUUGACAUAUACAGGAUCGCGCCAGAGAUGGUGUUUCCCUUGUGGCUUGUAUACAGGUGGUGCAUGGUUGUCGUCAGCUCGUGUCGUGAGAUGUUGGGUUAAGUCCCGCAACGAGCGCAACCCUUGUCUUAUGUUGCCAGCACGUUGUGGUGGGGACUCGUAAGAAACUGCCGGGGUUAACUCGGAGGAAGGUGGGGAUGACGUCAAAUCAUCAUGCCCCUUAUGUCCAGGGCUUCACACAUGCUACAAUGGUCGGUACAGUGGGUUGCCAGUCCGUGAGGGCGAGCUAAUCCCGCAAAGCCGGUCUCAGUUCGGAUCGGGGUCUGCAACUCGACCCCGUGAAGUCGGAGUCGCUAGUAAUCGCAGAUCAGCAACGCUGCGGUGAAUACGUUCCCGGGCCU
RNAcentral lists this ribosomal RNA (1343 nucleotides) under uncultured bacterium. RNAcentral describes it as "16S ribosomal RNA". It matches the Rfam family "Bacterial small subunit ribosomal RNA", at positions 28 to 1381 of the family's 1533-position model. The record is from RNAcentral.